RNAcentral lists this unclassified non-coding RNA (343 nucleotides) under Hevea brasiliensis (rubber tree). The record is from RNAcentral. Lineage: Eukaryota; Viridiplantae; Streptophyta; Magnoliopsida; Malpighiales; Euphorbiaceae.
CACGAUCCAAGUCAAAGGCAGGUGAUGUUGAUCACAGUCAACUUGCCCUUUCAGAAUCAGAUUUAUGCACUAUUGAUCAGCUGAAGCAAGAGAACCAAAAGCUGAAGGAAAGAUUAGAGAAAAGGGAAGCAGAGUUUCGAGGUGAAUUGAGGCAUGGUUUGCAGUGUGAUAAGUGUAAAUCGCUCGAGAUGCAGGUUUGUUUAUCAUCUUAUAUUAAUUAUUGUGCUGGAGAUCUGGGGAAAACAGGAACCCAAGUGACCAAUGCAUGUGCUUUUGCAUGUGUUAUUUGUGCUAUUUGUAAUGGACUCCUUCAUUCAACAGCAACCAUUUUAUUUUACUGUAC